GUAAAGUAUAUAUCACAACAUUUUGAAUGAAUUAAUAAGCACAAACUUUAAAAAAUGUUUUUUGUUUAUUUCUCAUCUAAGUAACGGUAUAAUCAUAAUAGGCUAUUUAUUAAUCUCUAGUUAUAUUUAAUAUAUAUUUUCAUUCAUAGGUGAACAUGAGUGUUCAUGCCCUGUACACUAAAUAAGUGCCCAAGAGGAACAAGUUCAACCAGCAAGGGGAUGGUUGUAAGACUAAGGGGCUGCCUUGGACCACAAUCAUUCCGGGAAAAGACAUCAGGCUACAACAAAGGAGGGAGUGCUCAGAUUCAACCAAUAAUUCUUCAAGGCUGCAAAGGCAUUCGUGGUGAAAUCCAUCAAGGAGGAAAAGAUCCUCCUGGCAGCGUAUUAGUGAUGAGUGACUACCAUAGCUAGGAGGGCAUAGUUGAGCUGAGGUGAUUCUCGUCUACCGACUCCCGUCCUCUCACUUCAAAAAGAUGACCUGACAGAGAGAAGUGAUGACAACAAGUGCAGACUCUAACUUGACAGUGUAUUUCAAAUUUUGAGCAAAUUCCAUCUGGGAGGGAAGCUGACUGCUGCCUGGGCAAAGGAAAACAAUGGGAAAAUGUAAAUAAAAAGUACAAGGAGGCUAGGGAGAAAACUAGCCCUGUGCCAAAGAAGAGGAACAAUGACCUUCUGCAUUUCCUCAGAGAGACAGGAGAAGAGGGACAAUGAGGCUCGGGAGAAAGAGGAGAAGAGGGAGGAAGAGGCUGCCAAGAGAGGUCACAAGUUCCUCUCUCUUUUUGGGAAAUGUGUAGAUAAGGUGUGAGAGUUUUGAGAGAGAUGUGAGUUAGGGUUUUAAAGUUAAAUUUUAAAGUUUAAAUGGUUCAAUUGUAAUUACGCAAGGGUUAACAUGAUCCACUGUUCCCUGUGUCUCUAUAUAGUUAGAUAUUGAUAACACCAUAACAACCAUGUAGCAAUUCAAGUGAAUUGACUUAUUAUGGUGAAUUUUGAUGCUGAACUAUAUUUGAUGUUACAAGGGCAAAACAGGAACAUGGUAAAUUCAGAGAAUUGUUGUUUACGUGUUUUACAUCACAUGUACUUCUAACCCA
Long non-coding RNA from Oncorhynchus tshawytscha (Chinook salmon), 1088 nucleotides. RefSeq lists it as uncharacterized. Lineage: Eukaryota; Metazoa; Chordata; Actinopteri; Salmoniformes; Salmonidae. The record is from RefSeq and is a predicted model, not a curated record. The transcript has 4 exons.